This 865-nucleotide transfer RNA is filed under the name Bradyrhizobium japonicum. Its description in RNAcentral is "partial 16S-23S ribosomal RNA intergenic spacer; may also contain 16S ribosomal RNA and 23S ribosomal RNA". The stretch from base 135 to 208 matches the Rfam family "tRNA". The record is from RNAcentral. Lineage: Bacteria; Pseudomonadati; Pseudomonadota; Alphaproteobacteria; Hyphomicrobiales; Nitrobacteraceae.
UGGCCAAUGAUCGUCAGGAUCGUUGAGCUGCAUUGGCGGGAUUUCGCCGUCUUCNUUUCUCUUUCUUCGCGGACGAACACGCGCUGGGGCUGCAACCUUGCAGGAUCCCUGGUCCUUGACUGGAUAUGCGUUAGGGGCUUGUAGCUCAGUUGGUUAGAGCGCGCGCUUGAUAAGCGUGAGGUCGGAAGUUCAAGUCUUCCCAGGCCCACCAGCCUUCGCGCUUCGCUGCUUCGGCUAGGCAAGCCCUUCAAAUGAAGGCUGCCGCGCCGUAGCCUUGGCGAAGGCGGGCUAAUCAAACGAGCAUUCGUCUUCUGGUUACGGGGCCAUAGCUCAGCUGGGAGAGCGCGUGCUUUGCAAGCAUGAGGUCGUCGGUUCGAUCCCGUCUGGCUCCACCAGAUGGUUUGAUCACCAACGGCAUGAUGACCGUCGUCCGCGAAACAUCACUUCGCACCCACUAGUCCGGAUGGACAGUGUGGCUGCGGGAUUUCUGACAUCGUAAAGAGGAGAUCGAUCCGAGUUGGAUCGUGCAGCAAGCAAUUGCCGCGCGAUACUUCAUUAUCUCCGGAUCAUUUCGGCGCUUGCUUCGCCCUUCAAGGUCAAACUUGAGAGGUGAUGCGAGUUGUAAAUGAUCCUUUUAGCGAAGCUUGACCGCCUCGCUAUCGGAACGAUCUUACGAAGCAAGCUGGUCUUUCUAAUCAUUGUCCGGCUGCAGAUAGCGUUCAUCGAGGGCGCGUGCCGCAAGGCAAUUCUGCAGACAGCAUUCUGCCGAGUGUGUGGACAUUGAUAAUGAGAGCAAUCAAGUGCCUUAAGGGUGUUCGGUGGAUGCCUUGGCGCUGAGAGCCGAAGAAGGACGUGCUACGCUGCG